This 253-nucleotide ribosomal RNA is filed under the name uncultured bacterium. RNAcentral describes it as "partial 16S ribosomal RNA". It matches the Rfam family "Bacterial small subunit ribosomal RNA", at positions 524 to 776 of the family's 1533-position model. The record is from RNAcentral.
UACGGAGGAUCCAAGCGUUAUCCGGAUUUAUGGGGUUUAAAGGGUGCGUAGGCGGUUUGGUAAGUCAGUGGUGAAAGCCUGCAGCUCAACUGUAGAGCUGCCAUUGAUACUGCUAGUCUUGAAUAUAGUUGAGGUAGGCGGAAUAUGACAUGUAGCGGUGAAAUGCUUAGAUAUGUCAUAGAACACCGAUUGCGAAGGCAGCUUGCUAAACUAUUAUUGACGCUGAGGCACGAAAGCGUGGGUAGCAAACAGG